AUGUUUGCUGUCUCACAAACAAGGAGACUGCCUAAUCUGUCCACUGCCUGGCGAACAAGCAAACCGCUUCAUCUCUUCGCUGCCUGGCAACAAGCAAACUGCUGCGUUUCUUCCCUGCCUCGCAGAAUGAGGAACCACUGUAGAUGUUCGCUGUCUCACAAACAAGGAGACUGCCUAAUCUGUUCGCUGCCUGGCGAACAAGCAGACCGCUGCGUCUCUUCGCUGCCUGGCGAACAAGCAGACCGCUGUGUCUCUUCGCUGCCUCGCAGAAUGUGGAACCACUGUGGAUGUUCGCUGUCUCACAAACAAGGAGACUGCCUAAUCUGUGCACUGCCUGGCGAACAAGCAAACCGCUUCGUCUCUUCGCUGCCUGGAGAGCAAGCAACCCGCUGUGUCUCUUGGCUGCCGCGUGCUAAAGCAAACCAUGGCGCCGCUACGCCACCUCGCCGACUCCUCAACGACUGCGUCUCUUCGCCGCCUCGCAGACAAGCAAGCCCUUGUGUCUCUUUGCCGCCUCGCGCACUAACUAACCGCUGCGUCUCUUUGAUGCCUGCCAAAAGAAGGAAGUGCUGCAUCUCUUCCCGCCUCGCCAACAAGCAGUCCGCUGCCCCUAUUGGAGGCGUUGCAAACAAGCAGUGGGCAGAAUCUCUUCACCACUUCGCCAACAAGCGGACUGCAGAGUCGCUUCGCCGCCUGGCCAACAAGCACACCGCUGCAUGUCUUCGCUGCCUCGCCAACUAGCGAAGUGCUGCCUGGCUUCACUUCCAGGCGAAAAAGCA
This 779-nucleotide long non-coding RNA is filed under the name Apteryx haastii (Great spotted kiwi). RNAcentral's name for it is "lncRNA (ENSAHAG00000006387.1)". Lineage: Eukaryota; Metazoa; Chordata; Aves; Apterygiformes; Apterygidae. The record is from RNAcentral.